AUGAUGUCGAGGGAGCGCAAGAAAGCGGCAGCUCUGCAGGAGAAGCUGCAACUCCUUCGCUCUCUCACCCACUCCCAUGCUCUGAGCAACACGUCCAUAAUCAUGGACGCCUCCAAGUACAUCAAGGAGCUGAAGCAGAAGGUGGUGAUGCUGAAUCAGGAGAUCGCUUGCGCGGCGCAAGACUCGCGCAGCAGACAGACCUCCUACCCGACGGUGAACGUUGAAACCCUAGGACACGGGUCGUUCCUCGUCAAUGUAUUGUCAGACAAGAGCUGCCCGGGGCUUCUGGUUUCCAUCCUCGAGGCCUUGGACGAGUUGGGCCUCAGCGUCCUCCAAGCCACGGCCACUUGCGCGGAUACUUUCCGCCUAGAAGCCAUAGGAGGGGAGAACCUGAUGGAGAACGUGGAUGAGCACGUCCUGAAGCAGGCCGUGCUGCGGGCCUGCUCCUCGCACAGCGGCGGCGGCAACAAGCAAACAUAG
Molecule: ribosomal RNA, 480 nt
Filed under: Triticum aestivum (bread wheat)
Lineage: Eukaryota; Viridiplantae; Streptophyta; Magnoliopsida; Poales; Poaceae
Description: partial small subunit ribosomal RNA
Source: RNAcentral